Molecule: long non-coding RNA, 918 nt
Filed under: Pan troglodytes (chimpanzee)
Lineage: Eukaryota; Metazoa; Chordata; Mammalia; Primates; Hominidae
Description: long non-coding RNA NONPTRT002208
Source: RNAcentral
GAGUUCAAGACCAGCGUGGCCAAUAUGGUGAAACCCUGUCUCUACUAAAAAUACAAAAAUUAUCAGGACGUGGUGGUGCGCACCUGUAGUCCCAGCUACUUGGGAGGCAGAAGCACAAGAAUCGCUUGAACCUGGGAGGCAGAGGUUGCAGUGAGCCAAGAUCAUGCCACUGUACUCCAGCCUGGGUGACUGCUGUGUUUUCUGCUUAAGCCGUUGAGACGAUCUCAAAGGUAGAAGAGACCUUCAAGGGCAUCGAGUCCAUCUACGGAUGCCAGGGGUGGACUCUGUUAACUCUAUUAAGUGAUUCCUCAACCUUUGCCAAGUAUCCAAAGCAACAGGAAACUAACUACCUCGAAACAGUAUGUAGUAGGCUGUUUCCUCCUCCCUUCUAUCCAACAGUCCUAUUUUAACCUUUCAUAUAUUUGUCAGUAAUAGUUUAUAGCCCAUAGAAUAAAAUAAAUAGCUGUAAGUUUAUAUUAAUAUAACAAAUAAUUGAUGAACAAAGAAAUGGGAGAAAAAGGACAACACUUUUUUUACAGUAGAAUUUAAAGCAGGGCAAGGUUUGGUUCUCUGUGUCAACAUUUUCGAGUUACACACUGGGGCAACAAAUGAAAUAAAAUUCUGCCACAUUCAUAGUUCAACAUGUUGUUCCUCUUUGAGUGCUAAAACUUACAAAGGGAGCUAUAAAGAAAAACAAAUUUUAUUCACAACACUCUGCAUACAAACUUUUCUUUCUGUAGACUUGUGUGGAGUUGAAAAUAAAGGAUGCUAAUAUGCACAUUAUGCAGCACAUCAAAAAAAAGAGAGAGAAAACACUUUAGUUGAGUGGAAAUUCAUCCAUCUACUGAAAAUCUGGGAGAAUUCACAUCCCCAAAAUUUUUGGCUAUUUCUCUGUAAAACUAUUUAUACCAUUUAAAA